UGGGGAAUCUUGCGCAAUGGUCGAAAGACUGACGCAGCGACGCCGCGUGUGGGAGGACGCCUUUCGGGGUGUAAACCACUGUUGCCCGGGACGAACUAGCUCUUUCGAGAGCUUUGACGGUACCGGGUGAGGAAGCACCGGCUAACUCCGUGCCAGCAGCCGCGGUAAUACGGAGGGUGCGAGCGUUGUCCGGAAUCAUUGGGCGUAAAGGGCGCGUAGGUGGCCCGGUCAGUUCGUGGUGAAAGCGCGGGGCUCAACCCUGCGUCGGCCAUGAAUACUGCCGCGGCUGGAGCACUGUAGAGGCAGGCGGAAUUCCGGGUGUAGCGGUGGAAUGCGUAGAGAUCCGGAAGAACACCGGUGGCGAAGGCGGCCUGCUGGGCAGUUGCUGACACUGAGGCGCGACAGCGUGGGGAGCAAACAGGAUUAGAUACCCUGGUAGUCCACGCCGUAAACGAUGGGCACUAGGCGCUUGGGGGAGCGACCCCCCGAGGGCCGGCGCUAACGCAUUAAGUGCCCCGCCUGGGGAGUACGGCCGCAAGGCUGA
Molecule: ribosomal RNA, 544 nt
Filed under: uncultured Gemmatimonas sp.
Lineage: Bacteria; Pseudomonadati; Gemmatimonadota; Gemmatimonadia; Gemmatimonadales; Gemmatimonadaceae
Description: bacterial SSU rRNA
Rfam family: Bacterial small subunit ribosomal RNA
Source: RNAcentral